CCUACGGGUGGCAGCAGUGGGGAAUAUUGCACAAUGGGGGAAACCCUGAUGCAGCGACGCCGCGUGAGUGAAGAAGUAUUUCGGUAUGUAAAGCCCUAUCAGCAGGGAAGAAAAUGACGGUACCUGACUAAGAAGCCCCGGCUAACUACGUGCCAGCAGCCGCGGUAAUACGUAGGGGGCAAGCGUUAUCCGGAUUUACUGGGUGUAAAGGGAGCGUAGACGGCAGUACAAGUCUGGAGUGAAAGGCCGGGGCUUAACCCCGGGACUGCUUUGGAAACUGUACAGCUAGAGUGCAGGAGAGGUAAGUGGAAUUCCUAGGGUAGCGGUGAAAUGCGUAGAUAUUAGGAGGAACACCAGUGGCGAAGGCGGCUUACUGGACUGUAACUGACGUUGAGGCUCGAAAGCGUGGGGAGCAAACAGGAUUAGAUACCCUUGUAGUC
RNAcentral lists this ribosomal RNA (440 nucleotides) under uncultured bacterium. RNAcentral's name for it is "partial 16S ribosomal RNA". It matches the Rfam family "Bacterial small subunit ribosomal RNA", at positions 338 to 795 of the family's 1533-position model. The record is from RNAcentral.